Molecule: ribosomal RNA, 558 nt
Filed under: Sordariomycetes sp.
Lineage: Eukaryota; Fungi; Ascomycota; Sordariomycetes
Description: eukaryotic LSU rRNA
Rfam family: 5.8S ribosomal RNA (bases 254-407)
Source: RNAcentral
UCCGUUGGUGAACCAGCGGAGGGAUCAUUAGCGAGUUAAUUACAAACUCCAAACCCAUGUGAACAUACCUACUGUUGCCUCGGCAGGCCGUGCUGCGCGGCUGGAUCGCCCACCCCCCGCGUGGGUAGCUACCCUGGAGUAGCUACCCUGUAGCGGGAGCGGCCCGCCCCGCGGCGCGCCAACAGGCCUGCCGAAGGACCCCUAAACUCUGUUUUGCACCUGUAUCUCUGAGUUUAUUAUACAAAUAAGUUAAAACUUUCAACAACGGAUCUCUUGGUUCUGGCAUCGAUGAAGAACGCAGCGAAAUGCGAUAAGUAAUGUGAAUUGCAGAAUUCAGUGAAUCAUCGAAUCUUUGAACGCACAUUGCGCCUAAUAGUAUUCUGUUAGGCAUGCCUGUUCGAGCGUCAUUUCAACCCCCAAGCCCUAUUUGCUUGACGUUGGGAGUUUACGGAGACGUAAUUCCUCAAAUAUAGUGGCGGAGCUAGGUCGUGCUCUAAGCGUAGUAACCAAAUUCUCGCUUCUGAAGCCGGCCCGGGUCCUGCCGUAAAACCCCCUAUA